ACCGGGCGCUGCGGCGGCGCCCGGAAGACAAGACAGACCGUGCUGCAGGGAAGCUCUGCGCACUUUUGGGUGUU
This 74-nucleotide small RNA is filed under the name Streptomyces albidoflavus. RNAcentral's name for it is "nrdJ RNA". It matches the Rfam family "nrdJ RNA". Lineage: Bacteria; Bacillati; Actinomycetota; Actinomycetes; Kitasatosporales; Streptomycetaceae. The record is from RNAcentral.